AAAACCGGUGCACGGCGCACGCUUCCUCCUCCAUCACCUUCCGUGUGAAAAUAUCUGCUGCUCUCUCUCCUUCCACUUCAUCCCUCUGCGCCGCCUCCUCUCCUCCCGAUUCGCAUCCUCCCCCAAUCCCCGCCUCCUCUCCUCCUCCCCAAUCCGACGCCUCUCGCCGCCCUCUCUCCUUCCCCUACGCCUUCGACCCCACCCUCGCCAGCUCCCAAGGAUCCGCCGAGUGGGGAACCAAGAAGGAGGAGGGACGUGAAGGGGAGAAGAGGGGGUGCGGCACAUGAGACCUAGGCGGCGGCUCGAGCAGAGGAGCGGGCCUCGAGACGCCGCGUCCGCCACUCCCCCGCCUCGAACCAGCCGCUGCCAUGGAGAAGGACGGACAGUAGCGGAGGCCGACGGUGGAGGGAGGAGCGGCGAGGACAGAGGCGCCGGCUGUCGGGGACCUCCCAGCCUUCUUCUUCUCCUCGUCAGGUGGAGCUCGAGCCGUCGAGCACGACCUCGAUCUGGAGUAGGGUAGCAGCAGCCGCAGGGGGCUCCAACCUUGUCUCCGCGGGAGGGGGCAGGCGCAACUCCUCCUCUCCACUCCCCACGCGACAGCGGCCCCAACCCCCACACCAACCCCACCUCCUCUAGCCCCUCUGCAAUGAAGUGUUUCGGUGCUUGGUUUAUUGGUGGGUGGUGAGAAGAAGAGAGGUGGAAGCAGGACCGCGAGGCCGGAGCUCCAGGCGUCGCUCGCGCUUAGGUGGAGUGGAGAGGUGUCGCGGGCCAUGACUGAUGGGUCGUUGCUCACUGGUCGUCGUCCCCUGUCCACCAUCCAGGUUGCACGUCCUCAUCAUAAUCUGAUUUUGAUUCCUUGAUUUUUCUGAUAAAGAGAGGAAGAAUUGGGGAUACAGGUCUUAGGCCUUAGAUUCUUUGCCUCCAGCAGAAGAAACGAUUCAUGUGUGCCUCCCUUUUUGUUAUAUCUUACAUAAUUUCUAAUCUGGGCAAAUAUCACAUAAUCGGCUUGGCAGCUAAUAUUCAAAAUUGUUAGUGUUGUCGGUACAUUGAGGUUUAUCUUAUUUUGGUAAAGGUUUUUCUAUCAAGAACUACAUAUGCUCGACAUGGUGUCAUGGUAUCUAUAGUUGUUGUGGAGCCUGCUGGUAUUCUUACCCUUCAUCGCCUCUUUCCCUUCUCUGUAUGAGCCCUUUCCUGAUUUGUUUUUGUUCGCGAUCUGCUCUGCUUGUUUUGACUCUUUUUAGUUGAUGCAUUAUUCUAUCUAUUUUUGUGUACUCGGGUGCCUAUGCGAGAAACAUUGGAAGAAUCCAUGUAUUUAGCCAUGGCAUGUUUGGCAGCUACAGCAGCUUCUGCAGCUUUCUUCCCCCGUCAUUCCUCAUAUAUGUGGGCAAUUCAAUGUUGUUACCAGUGGGAGUCCAUAGUGCGCGUGUGUCUGGUCCAGUAUGUUGUUCCAUAGGAUAAGAAAAAAGUUUGUCAAGAAUGGAUCUCUAAAUGUGUUUCGCCUUGAGGUAAAUAAUUUGCAUGUUGUCUACUUUUCGUUAAUUUGGGUCAGGCCAAAAUAAGGUGUAGGCAAAUUUCAGAUUUUUUAUCUGUACUGCAUUUUCACAAAUUAAAACAGUGACCUUGACAUUACCAGUCUAUGGGGGAGUCAUGGAGAAGCCAAGCUUAAAUGAGAUUUCAAAAUUUUGUGGCCUUUGUUAACAUUUAAAAACCUGAUGCUUCUACUUGUGAAAGAACAGGUAGAGAUAAGGCCCAUCAGUUCAGGUAGAGAUAAUGAAAGAACAGAAGAAGGACUGAGCAAGAGGAGGAACUUCGUCGACCCAGCCGUGAGCAAAUGAUGCUCUGGCGAGUCGAUGAUGACCGUCAUGGAGAUCUGCCUGCGGGGCCUGACCAAGGAACCAACGCUGAAGCCGUUAGACGAGGACGUGCUCUGGAACCUGCAGUUUGCAGCCCUGGUGUAGGAUGACUGGAACAGCGAGGAGUCCCCGCUCUCAUAGUCGCAGAUCCGUGCACAAUCCGCAGAGGACUAACCUCUAGGAAGGCUGAGAAAAAAUAUUGGCAAGCAUUACCAUUAUGAUCCUCCAUCGAUCAUCAUUGUUGAAGGAAUUUCUGUUUCUCUUCAUAUAGGAUACAGAUAUGUGAUUCUCAUGUGAUCCUUUUGCUGGAAACUUGCUAAUCUUAGGGGUGUUGCUACUGGUGUAGAAACCGUUUUAUCAAAAGAACUAAAGUAGUAGCUAAUCCAAGCAUUGAAGAAUUGACCCAGAGGUUACGCUAUACUGGAACGAAGUCAGAGCAGCGCCUAAAUACUACACAAGAUAGUUUCUGAUAACCUUCAGUCUAUAUGUCCUAACCAACAGCAUCCACCUUUUGUUUUAUCAAUCGAUCCAGUAUCUUUGCCCUUUUGGCAUUGCUCUGAGCAAGAUAUGUAUAGCCUUUAGAUUUCCAUUCAUGUAUGAUACUGCAUGUACACUUUAGACCUCAUUACUGUCUCUGUGGUCAAAAGAAGUUUGUGAUCAAUUGUUCUAUAUAUGUAAUCAACUGCCCUUCUACUAAUAUUUUCAGAAGACUAUUUAUAUAUGUUUACACUGGUUAGAGAAAA
Molecule: long non-coding RNA, 2596 nt
Organism: Aegilops tauschii subsp. strangulata
Lineage: Eukaryota; Viridiplantae; Streptophyta; Magnoliopsida; Poales; Poaceae
Source: RefSeq, a predicted model, not a curated record